Molecule: long non-coding RNA, 4791 nt
Organism: Triticum aestivum (bread wheat)
Lineage: Eukaryota; Viridiplantae; Streptophyta; Magnoliopsida; Poales; Poaceae
Exons: 2
Source: RefSeq, a predicted model, not a curated record
ACAAAAGAAAAAAAAUCCAUGCGUCUUUCCUUCGGCCCCGAGCAGCCGCGCCGCCGGAACUUGCGAACCCCGCCGCCACCUCGACUCUUCCGCGUCCGGUGCGACGCCGGCACAUCCAUCGCAUGCCGGUGAGCUCCCCAUCGAGCAGUAGCUGCCGCGCCGCCGGAACUUGCGAACCCCGCCGCCACCUCCACUCUUCCGCGUCCGGUGCGACGCCGGCGCAUCCGUCGCAUGCCGGCGAGCUCCCCAUCGAGCAGUAGCUGCCGCGCCGCCCACCUACUUUGCCUUUUCCCGUCCUUCCCUACACUUCUCUCACCUCUCUCUGCCUCGCAUCCACGGGGACCCCGGGACGCCGCCGGCACGCGGAAAUACGCCGCCCCAACUGGAUCGAUGCCCUGCUCCAUCGCCUGCUCUCCUACCAUCCGUCCUCACCCCGCCGCCACCUCGACUCUUCCGCAUCGGGUGCGACACCGGCGCAUCCCUCGCAUGCCGGGACCCGAGGCACCGCUGGCACGCGGAACGAUGCCGCCCCAGCUGGAUCGACGCCCUGCUCCAUCGCAUGCUCUCCCGCCGUCCGUCCUCAUCUCGAAUCGAUCAUGCCGGCAGCUGUCAUUGCCAGAUCCUAGCUUGGCCGCCUGCUGAAAGAUCCAGCGCCUUUGUGCCUCUCACCGUCGAGGGAGGUAGGAAUGACGGAGCCGUGCAUGUGUUGGCGCCCAUGUGGUGCGUGCUGAGCCACCGCCUUGCGUAGCGGCUAUAGUCCUACGGCGCGCCCUACCUCGAGCAACACACAUGGGUGGCGGCUGAGACGUCUGAGGAGCUUCAGCAGGAGGUGGUGAUCCAGUGGCACUCCUUCCAGUACAACACUAACCUAUGCAAAGUGGCCCUUUAUUUCCCCUGCCCAGCUCCAAUCUUUGAUCCGUCCAUGCUUGAGGUAAUAUGUACAGAGAACGAGGCUGCCGAGCCAAAUUUGUUGAACGAGGCUGUGAAGUUUGAGGUAAUAUUGCUGCUACCUUCGUUUUGUUUUUUGGUGAUGGUCACCUCUGUAUCAACUCAACAGGUAGUAUCUAUCUGUUAGUGCUAUUCCUGCAAUUUUGUAAGCCAGAUUUGUGCCAAGUGCAUUGCAUAAUAUAUCUCUAAUAGGUCCAUUGCUAUUUCUGAGAUCUUCCAUCAAUGUUUAUUACAACAGAAAAAUGGUCCUUAUCACAUAUAUAGUAUGCACUGGCAACUUAUAUAUACGAUGGUUGAUAAAAAUUACUUCAGGGUAUCCAUUCUGCUAUAUUUUAGAUACUCAACAAAAUUUGUGACAUCUAAUCUGGUAGAGAAAAUAGUAUGAUACAUUCUUUUUUCUUUUGCGAAUUCAGUCCAAGAUAUUCUUUUCUUACCUACAGAUAAUUUCGUAUGGAUGACUUCAACAUGAUUUAGUUUCCAGCCUGUAUAGAUUAGUCUUAUUAUGAGCUACCUAUAAUUUUUUUAGGCUUUUAGUUUUAGUUAUGGUGAUGGACUGUGCACAUGAUUCAAUAAAGAACUGCAGCAAGCAUUAAUUUUUACAUGCGUGAAGCAUUUUACAAUAAAUUUCCUAUUAUUCAUCAGCUAGCUGAAUGAACGGAGACUGUACGACAAGGCGAACAAACACACUAAAUAUCACGAGUCAUAUUAAUUCCUAGCUAUUUUUACAAUUGCAUUUCACUGGAAGUUUCCUGUUGAUUAUAAUAAUGUUCACCAUAGAUAUCUAAAGUUUGUGGUUCAAUUUAUGAUCUGCAUUGGUCUAGAUACUAUUGCUGGAAGUUGACGUUGACACCCAGUAAGAUCCUCCUGGAGCUGCCUUCUCUGAGCAUAUCUCCAAUCAAGCAUCUACUAAUUCACAUCGUAAAUGUUAAAUUUGUGAUAGGCUUACUAUAGACAAAUGUUUCUGAAUAUUAUGGUAUAUCAGAUGUUACAGAGUAAAUUAUCAAUUUACUCUACAUGAUACAUUAAUCUUUUUUGUUUUUGUUUCUAUUCUAUUUAUGGUGGAAAAAUGGUUUCUUCACCAUUUGGUUGAUGUUAAAUUAAAACAUUUUUGUAUGCCUAUCGAAUAUAUGUUAGUUCAACCGAUAUUCCAAAUUACAUUUUUAUAUUGUGCUGCUUAUUACAGUUUUUUCCUCCAAGGAAACAACACCAAGGCACCCCAUGAGUAUUUGUCAGUUCAACUGAUAUUCCACUUUUGCAUAUUGUAGUACUUCUAUAGUUAUUUCAUCUCAGGAAACAACACCAAGGCAAUAUAUUUUUACCCUGUUUAUAACAGCCUAAUUAUUUCCAACAAUAGAGAUUGAGGCUAUCUUAUUAAAUGUUCCUUUUUGCACGCUGUUGAUCAGCUACAUAAUAUCCUUCUGAUAUAUGACCAAUUUGAAAGAGAAACAAAAAACUUUUCCUAAACUAUGAAAGACAUCAUUAUUCUGAUUAAAAUCAUUCUCACAGGUGACGCCAUGGCACCAUCCAUGAGAGUAUUAAGGAUCCCGAGGGAAAGAGUUGCGAUGGGCCGAUGGCGCAUCUAUUCACACCAUGCACAUUCAUUGCCUGCUACUCAUGCGACCACUCUGAAGGUAAGGAAGUGUGUAUCUUAAGUUCCAUGCUGCAGUUAACAUUUAAUCAUAUUAAUAUUAUCUCUGAUAUCCUGGACACAACAUAGAUUUUACAAGCAAAACUUCAUCAAGCUAGAUUUGUUGCAUGUGCACUAGAUGUUGAUGUUAUUGGGCUAGACUAAUUUUGUGUUUUCCCAUCAUGUUGAAAGUUGUCCCUGAUGUGCGUACAUUAUUAGCUAUCAUGGAGACGACAAAUAGCUGAUGUUUGGUAAUAGUUACUUCAUGGUAUGCUGCAUAUUCCUCUAAAUUUGUGAGAUUUGAGAUAGUAGAAACAACACAUCGUGAUCUACUGGCCUUGCCUGAUGCUUCGUUAUUUGAGGACCAUGGAGUAAAAUGGAUCUAAUUUCCAGUCUAUGUAUGAUUAUUAGUCAUUUGAUGCGGAAAGUUUUAUGAUUUCAUUAUAUGUUUAGUACGCUCUUACAGUUUAUGCAUGCGAAUUAACAGAAAUAAAUUGCACGGACUAUUCUUUUUCUCAUAAAUGUGAAGCAUGUACAACUAUUUUUCAAUUGCGAAAAAACAUUCCUUCCCCCAAGCGAGCCAGCACACAAAUAAGAGUCACUCCAUUCUACCUACCUACCUACCUACCUACCUACCUAUCUAUCCAUCCUUAACUUCAGCAUAUUUACCUUGAGUAAUUAUGGUUUAAUAAGGUUUUUUUAUGUAUUAGUGAUUUAGUUUUUUAUUGGUUUACACCCCCUUGGUUCAAACAUUAUUAUUCUCUACUUUAGGCAUUUAUAUAACUAAAUGGCUUUUUAAUGCCUAAAAAUAUAUUGGUUUUGUUUUUCACUAGGGAGAGAACAUAUUGAUGUAUCAAUGGGAAAAAGUAAGUUUCAAAAUAUGUUAUAGUACAAUAGUACAUCAUGUGUAAACGUGGGCUGGGCAUAGAACUUUGGCCAAUUCUCUCCCAUCUCUUAAAGCUCAUCAAUGACGCAGUUCACUUAGUACCAUUCAACGGAGGAGAGCACUAAUUUAAGGAAACUAUGAAUGAGGAACUAUUUGAAGGAAUCUACUUCCUUUUAGUCCUAUGGUUGAGCAAAAAUCACGUGGUUCGAAAUAAUGAACAUGCAAGUUUCUCCUGUAUUAUUCCUAUAUAUUUCACUCGCAACAUACAAUACUUUCUUUGUGAUUGUUUGCGUCAAUGUGUAAAUAAAAAAGUACUAGCCCGUGCAAGUGCACGGGUUGACGACUAGUGCUUAUUAAUGAUGCUUCUGGACAUAAGGUCAUUAGCUUUCUUGAUGGUAAUGCGGGAUAUAACCAGAUUUUUAUGGCCGAAGCGGACAUGUCCAAAACGGCUUUUCGACGUCCCGGUUUCAUUGGUUUAUUUGAGUGGACAAUAAUGACCUUUGGAUUAAAAAAUGCCGGCGCCACGUAUCAAAGGGCUAUGAAUUUAUUUUUUCAUGAUUUACUUGGUGUUAUACUUGAGGUUUAUAUUGAUGAUAUUGUUGUCAAAUCGGAUGCUUUUGAAUCCCAUCUAGCCGAUUUGCACUUAGCUUUUGAGAGAAUGAAAAAAUAUGGACUAAAUAUGAAUCCUUUGAAGUUUGCUUUUGGUGUAUCGGCUGGAAAGUUUUUGGGUUUCAUUAUUCAUCAAGAUAGCAUAGAAAUUGAUCCCAAAAAGAUAGAAGCUAUACAAAAGGUGGAGGCUCCAACAUGCAAGAGAGAUAUGCAAAAGUUCUUUGGCAAAGUCAAUUUUUAAGGAGAUUCAUAGCCAACUUGUCAGGGAAGGUUGAUGCAUUCACCCCAUCCUUCGGUUAAAGGAUGAUGCCAAUUUUACUUGGGGGGCAAAAUAACAAGAAGCGUUUGAUAUGAUAAAAAGUUAUUUGUGCACUCCUCGGUGUUGAAAGCUCCCAAACAUAGAGAGCCCUUUAAGCUUUAUAUUGCGGUGGAGGAAGGUGUUAUUGGUGCUGUUUUGACUCAAGAGAUCGAAGGAAAGGAGCAUGCUAUUAUUUAUUUGAGCCGACGAUUAUUGGACGCCGAGACAGGGUAUACAUUCAUUGAGAAAUUAUGCUUGUGUUUAUAUUAUGCUUGCACAAAAUUGAGACAUUAUCUAGUGCCUAGUAGUUGCAUUAUAGCUUGUCAAACCAAUGUCAUCAAAUACAUGUUGCAUAGGCCAAUUCUUAGUGGUAGAAUUGACAAAUGGGCUUAUGCCUUAAUUGAAUAUGAUUUGGCUUAUGUA